Molecule: ribosomal RNA, 497 nt
Filed under: uncultured bacterium
Lineage: Bacteria
Description: partial 16S ribosomal RNA
Rfam family: Bacterial small subunit ribosomal RNA
Source: RNAcentral
GAUGAACGCUGGCGGCGUGCCUAAUACAUGCAAGUCGAGCGAACAGACGAGGAGCUUGCUCCUCUGACGUUAGCGGCGGACGGGUGAGUAACACGUGGAUAACCUACCUAUAAGACUGGGAUAACUUCGGGAAACCGGAGCUAAUACCGGAUAAUAUAUUGCACCGCAUGGUUCAAUAGUGAAAGACGGUUUUGCUGUCACUUAUAGAUGGAUCCGCGCCGCAUUAGCUAGUUGGUAAGGUAACGGCUUACCAAGGCAACGAUGCGUAGCCGACCUGAGAGGGUGAUCGGCCACACUGGAACUGAGACACGGUCCAGGCGCCUACGGGAGGCAGCAGUAGGGAAUCUGCCGCAAUGGGCGAAAGCUUGACGGAGCAACGCCGCGUGAGUGAUGAAGGUCUUCGGAUCGUAAAACUCUGUUAUUAGGGAAGAACAAAUGUGUAAGUAACUAUGCACGUCUUGACGGUACCUAAUCAGAAAGCCACGGCUAACUACGUG